Molecule: ribosomal RNA, 437 nt
Filed under: uncultured Saccharofermentans sp.
Lineage: Bacteria; Bacillati; Bacillota; Clostridia; Eubacteriales; Oscillospiraceae
Description: partial 16S ribosomal RNA
Rfam family: Bacterial small subunit ribosomal RNA
Source: RNAcentral
ACGGGAGGCAGCAGUGGGGAAUAUUGGGCAAUGGACGAAAGUCUGACCCAGCGACGCCGCGUGAAGGAUGAAGGUCUUCGGAUUGUAAACUUUAGUACUCAGGGACGAAACAAAUGACGGUACCUGAAGAACAAGUCACGGCUAACUACGUGCCAGCAGCCGCGGUAAUACGCAGGUGACAAGCGUUAUCCGGAUUUACUGGGUGUAAAGGGCGUGUAGGCGGUUUGGCAAGUCAGAAGUGAAAUUCCCGGGCUUAACUUGGGCGCUGCUUCUGAAACUGCUUAACUUGAGUACUGGAGAGGAUAGUGGAAUUCCUAGUGCAGCGGUAAAAUGCACAGAUAUUAGGAGGAACACCGGUGGCGAAGGCGGCUAUCUGGACAGUAACUGACGCUGAGGCGCGAAAGCACGGGGAGCAAACAGGAUUAGAUACCCUGGUA